Molecule: ribosomal RNA, 620 nt
Filed under: uncultured bacterium
Lineage: Bacteria
Description: bacterial SSU rRNA
Rfam family: Bacterial small subunit ribosomal RNA
Source: RNAcentral
UACUCCUACGGGAGGCAGCAGUGGGGAAUAUUGGACAAUGGGGGGAACCCUGAUCCAGCCAUGCCGCGUGUGUGAAGAAGGCCUUAUGGUUGUAAAGCACUUUAAGCGAGGAGGAGGCUACUGAGACUAAUACUCUUGGAUAGUGGACGUUACUCGCAGAAUAAGCACCGGCUAACUCUGUGCCAGCAGCCGCGGUAAUACAGAGGGUGCGAGCGUUAAUCGGAUUUACUGGGCGUAAAGCGUGCGUAGGCGGCUUUUUAAGUCGGAUGUGAAAUCCCCGAGCUUAACUUGGGAAUUGCAUUCGAUACUGGGAAGCUAGAGUAUGGGAGAGGAUGGUAGAAUUCCAGGUGUAGCGGUGAAAUGCGUAGAGAUCUGGAGGAAUACCGAUGGCGAAGGCAGCCAUCUGGCCUAAUACUGACGCUGAGGUACGAAAGCAUGGGGAGCAAACAGGAUUAGAUACCCUGGUAGUCCAUGCCGUAAACGAUGUCUACUAGCCGUUGGGGCCUUUGAGGCUUUAGUGGCGCAGCUAACGCGAUAAGUAGACCGCCUGGGGAGUACGGUCGCAAGACUAAAACUCAAAUGAAUUGACGGGGGCCCCCACAAGCGGUGGAGCAUGUGGA